AACGAACGCUGGCGGCAUGCCUAACACAUGCAAGUCGAACGAGACCUUCGGGUCUAGUGGCGCACGGGUGCGUAACGCGUGGGAAUCUGCCCUUAGGUACGGAAUAACUCAGGGAAACUUGUGCUAAUACCGUAUGAUGUCGAGAGACCAAAGAUUUAUCGCCUAGGGAUGAGCCCGCGUAGGAUUAGCUAGUUGGUGGGGUAAAGGCCUACCAAGGCUACGAUCCUUAGCUGGUCUGAGAGGAUGAUCAGCCACACUGGGACUGAGACACGGCCCAGACUCCUACGGGAGGCAGCAGUGGGGAAUAUUGGACAAUGGGCGAAAGCCUGAUCCAGCAAUGCCGCGUGAGUGAAGAAGGCCUUCGGGUUGGUUAAAGGCUCUUUUACCCCGGGUAAGAUAAUGACUGUACCGGGAGAAUAAGCUCCGGCUAACUCCGUGCCAGCAGCCGCGGUAAU
This 455-nucleotide ribosomal RNA is filed under the name uncultured bacterium. RNAcentral describes it as "bacterial SSU rRNA". It matches the Rfam family "Bacterial small subunit ribosomal RNA", at positions 29 to 524 of the family's 1533-position model. The record is from RNAcentral.